This 245-nucleotide unclassified non-coding RNA is filed under the name Cladosporium herbarum. RNAcentral's name for it is "sequence contains 5.8S rRNA gene". The stretch from base 1 to 53 matches the Rfam family "5.8S ribosomal RNA", at positions 102 to 154 of the family's 154-position model. The record is from RNAcentral. Lineage: Eukaryota; Fungi; Ascomycota; Dothideomycetes; Cladosporiales; Cladosporiaceae.
GAACGCACAUUGCGCCCCCUGGUAUUCCGGGGGGCAUGCCUGUUCGAGCGUCAUUUCACCACUCAAGUCUCGCUUGGUAUUGGGCAACGCGGUCCGCCGCGUGCCUCAAAUCGUCCGGCUGGGUCUUCUGUCCCCUAAGCGUUGUGGAAACUAUUCGCUAAAGGGUGUUCGGGAGGCUACGCCGUAAAACAACCCCAUUUCUAAGGUUGACCUCGGAUCAGGUAGGGAUACCCGCUGAACUUAAG